Long non-coding RNA from Passer domesticus (house sparrow), 672 nucleotides. RefSeq lists it as uncharacterized. The record is from RefSeq and is a predicted model, not a curated record. The transcript has 7 exons. NCBI's taxonomy places the organism in Eukaryota, Metazoa, Chordata, Aves, Passeriformes, Passeridae.
GAAAUGGGGCUGUCUCUGUUAUGCAGGAUGAACUGAGGUUCAGAACUAGAUUUUGCAAAGGAAAAAUCAGCCAGAGAAGCCUUUAAAGUACCUGGAGUCAAGGUGUCAUGAGAGAAAUUCAUUUCUCCUGCUGAUAUUUCACAGAAGAUGCCAUGCCAGUGGCUGGUGACCUUCAGGAUGAAGAUGGGCAGGUGAGGCUGAGGAAAACACUUGGAAAAUGAAGGCUCUGCAUUCAGUGGGGAAAUUGUGCAGUGUCUUGAAGGCUAUAUUUAAUUCUCAUAGCAAAACUGAAAAAAAACCCCAACUGGAAAAAAAAAUGGAAUUUAAAGAGACAGACAUUUUGGCAUUCUCAGAAAAGAGAAUAUGUAGCACAGAGGUUUCUCCUUCUGAAUGUCAUUGGAAUUGCAAGACAUUGCAAAAGGAUUCAGCUUGAUUCUGAGUUACUGCUUUUGCAAUCAAAAAUUGCCCAGGAAAAGAAGGAUUUCAAUAAGGAACCUGGAAAGGUUUUGCUGAAGGCUAAAGCACUGGAGUCCAGCAGAAAGUGCAUUUCUUCUCCAGCAGUCAGACUCAAACAUCAUCAGGAAUCAUGCACGUUUUAUCUUGUGCUGGAAGGAAGAAGACAGUCUGUUUCCACUGGUGGGGGACAGAAGCUAGAGUAUGUGAUGAAAAAAU